UGUAUCUGAAGCCUGACGAGGAUGAGAACCUCCGGGGGCAAGAGGUUCGACCCGAGCGAAGCGAGAGAACGUUGCUUCAGCAACGGCCCGCAGGGCGAGCCACGCAGUGGCGAGUCAUCCUCUAUCACCGACCA
This 134-nucleotide small RNA is filed under the name Salmonella enterica. RNAcentral's name for it is "RtT sRNA". It matches the Rfam family "RtT RNA". From Rfam's summary of the family: This family represents a bacterial cis-regulatory element known as RtT RNA. The exact function of RtT is unknown although it is thought that it may be involved in changing the cellular response in relation to amino acid starvation. The record is from RNAcentral. Lineage: Bacteria; Pseudomonadati; Pseudomonadota; Gammaproteobacteria; Enterobacterales; Enterobacteriaceae. RNAcentral also lists the same sequence under 4 other names.